GUUUUAAUUAGACAUUUGUCUCACAUGUCCAUGGUGCUGGCAGGAGUCUCUCUAGGAUUUCUCGACCAAGACAUACAGUGGUAAACAAGAUGAAUUUCCACCAUUCAUAACAAUGUGUGCCUUGUAGGAAGAUGCUCAACUAUCUGUUGCUGUUGGCCAUGUUGGAAACUGUAUUUUUAAAAAAAAAGGAAACCUGCUCAUUUUACAAAGGAGUGAGUCACAACCAGACAGCGAAAACUGAGGCCAGAUGGAGCCCUUCCGCCUGAUAGAAAGUAAGGAAGGAAGAAAAAAGAGGAGAAGGAGGAAGGGCCUCAAUGGCUACAACACACUUAUUGUACACCGCAGAGAUUGAAUGUCAUGUAAAACCCCUCUGCCUGAUAGUUUAUCCACGUGGUUUGCCUGGCGUGCCCAGUGUUCUUGAGAGCAGCUUAUUCAUGUGACUUGCCUCAGGCACUCUCUGCUUGAGGCUGGCCUUGCUCCAAUCCCACGUGUGUGAUCAAACUCCAGCUUCAGCUGCCCUUUAUGUAUCCCCUUUUCUGUUUUGUAGUUACAAUAGGUGAUCAUUUGGAGCUGGAUGAGCUGUGUUUUGAGGAUUGUGUACAAGAUCUUUUUAUUUUCAAGCCCUUUUCAUUCUAGAUGAACUUGCUCAAUCUAGGCUAAAGAUUUGCAGUCCAAAGAUUUUAAAUUCCUUCAUAUAGCAAUUUAAUAUUGUACAAUGCAUUAACCCAGAAUAGUGAUCAGUUACUAGUGUACUGGGCAAUUAUUUUAUACCUCUUGUGGUUAUACUUUUCUGCUGGAUAUGUAAGACCAAAUUAAGAUUGAUCAAGUUUUGCUAUUAACAAGGUCAGUUAAGUUUCCUCAGGAUUUACCUUGGAACCAUAUACAGCACCUCUAGCUCUUCAAUCAGUGUCAGCCAUCUGGAUGAGUCAUGGUCAUUGCUUGACCAAGUUGCUUUCUGUGAAAGCUUGGGAGACACUUUUCCUAGUGACUCUCCUUAGGCACACUAUAUGCCAUGAAUCUUUAUCUUCUCUUGUCCUAUAAUCUCCUUGAUCAGGAUUUUUACAGCUCACUAGAGUUGUGGAUAUCACUGAAAAUGUUCUCUCAUGUGGUGGGUCCUCAUUGACUUCUAAGGGCUAGGGCAAAAAUGCUGUCUGUCCUCUUAGCCUGUCUGUCUUUCUAGAUUUUUGCUUAUAUACCUCAGUUGUUGAAUAUACAGAAGAGAAGGUUAAUAACUUAACAUUUUGUAAUGGGGGCAGUGAGCUUAAUACUACUGUUUUAUCUGAAUAUCAAGCAUCUUGGAACAUAAAAUAGAACCAUUAUUUUUUAACAACGAUGGGUGUUCUACUGGUUGAAUCUCUGUAGAAUGCUAACAGGCAACAGUCAUAUAACUUCACAUAGAAAAUUUGAAAUCAAAAUCAUAAACUAUGUUGUAGCAUGACAGUCAUGAUGACACUUUUGUGGCAUACUUAAAUUUCCAUUUUGACAUAGUAUAUCACUUUUAAUCAAUCACCUCUAUGUAAUAUAUAAUAAGGUUUUAUCUAACUCAUUGACCUUUAAUGGGAUGUCACUGAGGAAAUUUGUGACAUUGUCUGGACCACUUAAUGUCUAGGCACCUCUAAGUAUAUAUAGCACACACAUCACUUAAGUUUUUAUUAUUACUGACUGGUGACUUCAUGUUGGCUUGACGUGAUCCUCCUAUCACAAUUAAUUGAAGCACAAAAGAAAGACAAAUUUCUGAAUCUGAAAGAAAAGGUUUAUUACUGUAAACAAUUCCAGUGUUCCAUUUCAGAAGAUAGCACACCUUGAAGGCACGAAUACAUUUAAUGCAGCAUGGCAUUAACAAUGAAUUAUCAUAACCAUGUGAACAACUUAAGUUUCUUAACUUAGUUAAGUACCAAGAGCAUAUUUUGUGAGGAAAUCUUAUUAUAUAAUUUCUAGAAAACUUAACCUUUUGCUGAUGACCAAUUUACUGAGGGGGUGCGGGUGUCCAGAGAUCAUUGGGACUUCCUACUAAUGAAUACAGUGUAGGAUAAUUUUCCCCAGGCAAUUGCUCCUUUAUUCCGCAAAGGAAUCCCUGACCGAUGAUUUUCUAAGUCUGAAGGGUCUGCAUUUAGGUAACUUAACAAAUUUCUGAUGACCUAUGUUUGUGUCAUUUUUACUAGUUGUCAACCCAGGUGAGAGCAUACCUUUUAAAUUUAUAAACUAAAUUACAUUAUGGACAAAUGGUCCAAAAACACAAAAGAAGAGAAAAGAAUUACUGGGCUCAAAUAAAAAACAGCUAUUCACAGAUAAGACAAAUGGAAAAACAAAUAUACUGAGGCUGGGGAUUUAGCUCAGUGGCAUAAGCGCCUGCCUUGCAAGCAGGCAGUCGUGAGUUCGAUCCCUGGUACCGAUGAAAACGAAAAAGACAAACAAAACAAAACAAAGAAACAAACAAAAAACCAAAUAUACAUAGAUAAUUGGCUUAAAAUAUCAGAAUGCAUAGAAACACAUUUUUGGCCAAACUGAAUUACAGUAACUCUUUUACAAUCUUAGAAGUUUAUAAUUAUAAAUAGAUUAGUCAGAAUUAUUUGUAGGUCAAUUAUAAUCUCUUAUAAGAAGA
Long non-coding RNA from Cavia porcellus (domestic guinea pig), 2602 nucleotides. RefSeq lists it as uncharacterized. The record is from RefSeq and is a predicted model, not a curated record. The transcript is spliced from 3 exons. NCBI's taxonomy places the organism in Eukaryota, Metazoa, Chordata, Mammalia, Rodentia, Caviidae.